UACGAAGGGUGCAAGCGUUACUCGGAAUUACUGGGCGUAAAGCGUGCGUAGGUGGUUUGUUAAGUCUGAUGUGAAAGCCCUGGGCUCAACCUGGGAAUUGCAUUGGAUACUGGCAGGCUAGAGUGCGGUAGAGGAUGGCGGAAUUCCCGGUGUAGCAGUGAAAAUGCGUAGAGAUCGGGAGGAACAUCUGUGGCGAAGGCGGCCUCUGGACCAGCACUGACACUGAGGCACGAAAGCGUGGGGAGCAAACAGG
RNAcentral lists this ribosomal RNA (253 nucleotides) under uncultured bacterium. Its description in RNAcentral is "partial 16S ribosomal RNA". It matches the Rfam family "Bacterial small subunit ribosomal RNA", at positions 524 to 776 of the family's 1533-position model. The record is from RNAcentral.